UAACCAGGCUGAGUGAUCGCGUGCAAAAGCAUGAGGAAAGUCCGAGCUCCACAGAGCAAGGGUGCUGGCUAACGGCCAGUGAAGGCGACUUUAAGGACAGUGCAACAGAAAUAAACCGCCUGUAAAGGUAAGGAUGGAAAGGCGAGGUAAGAGCUCACCAGCACAUAGGCGACUAUGUGGCUAUGUAAACCCCACCCGGAGCAAGGUCAAAUAGGGAAUUGUAUGAACGGCUCGUUCACCCGUGGUAGACCGCAUGAGCAGUCUGGUGACAGGCUGCCAAGAUAGAUGAUCACACAAACAGAACUCGGCUUAUAGGCUUGGUUAGUCG
Molecule: RNase P RNA, 328 nt
Filed under: Tissierellia bacterium
Lineage: Bacteria; Bacillati; Bacillota; Tissierellia
Description: RNase P RNA component class A
Rfam family: Bacterial RNase P class A
About the family: Ribonuclease P (RNase P) is a ubiquitous endoribonuclease, found in archaea, bacteria and eukarya as well as chloroplasts and mitochondria.
Source: RNAcentral